This 497-nucleotide ribosomal RNA is filed under the name uncultured bacterium. Its description in RNAcentral is "partial 16S ribosomal RNA". It matches the Rfam family "Bacterial small subunit ribosomal RNA", at positions 28 to 507 of the family's 1533-position model. The record is from RNAcentral.
GAUGAACGCUGGCGGCGUGCCUAAUACAUGCAAGUCGAGCGAACAGACGAGGAGCUUGCUCCUCUGACGUUAGCGGCGGACGGGUGAGUAACACGUGGAUAACCUACCUAUAAGACUGGGAUAACUUCGGGAAACCGGAGCUAAUACCGGAUAAUAUAUUGAACCGCAUGGUUCAAUAGUGAAAGACGGUUUUGCUGUCACUUAUAGAUGGAUCCGCGCCGCAUUAGCUAGUUGGUAAGGUAACGGCUUACCAAGGCAACGAUGCGUAGCCGACCUGAGAGGGUGAUCAGCCACACUGGAACUGAGACACGGUCCAGACUCCUACGGGAGGCAGCAGUAGGGAAUAUUCCGCAAUGGGCGAAAGCCUGACGGAGCAACGCCGCGUGAGUGAAGAAGGUCUUCGGAUCGUAAAACUCUGUUAUUAGGGAAGAACAAAUGUGUAAGUAACUAUGCACGUCUUGACGGUACCUAAUCAGAAAGCCACGGCUAACUACGUG